Molecule: ribosomal RNA, 1241 nt
Filed under: metagenome
Description: bacterial LSU rRNA
Rfam family: Bacterial large subunit ribosomal RNA
Source: RNAcentral
UGAGUACGAGAUGCUACGGCAUCGAAGCAGUCUAUGUCAUACUUCCAAGAAAAGCUUGCACUGUCAUAAACAAAGAAUGCCUGUACCAUAACCGACACAGGUGGGUAGGUAGAGUAUACUAAGGGGCGCGAGAUAACUCUCUCUAAGGAACUCGGCAAAAUAACUCCGUAACUUCGGGAGAAGGAGUGCCUUAUUCUUAAGGUUGCAAUAACAAGAUCCAAGCAACUGUUUAUCAAAAACACAGGUCUCCGCUAAGUCGCAAGACGAUGUAUGGGGGCUGACGCCUGCCCAGUGCCAGAAGGUUAAAGAAGUUGGUUAGCUUUUGCGAAGCUGAUAACUGAAGCCCUGGUGAACGGCGGCCGUAACUAUAACGGUCCUAAGGUAGCGAAAUUCCUUGUCGGGUAAGUUCCGACCCGCACGAAAGGCGUAAUGAUUUGGAUACUGUCUCGGAGAGGGGCUCGGUGAAAUAGACUUGUCUGUGAAGAUGCGGACUACCUGCACCAGGACAGAAAGACCCUAUGAAGCUUUACUGUAACUUGAAAUUGAAAUUGGACUUUAUUCGCGCAGUAUAGGUGGGAGGCGUUGAUUGUAAUCUUGCGGGAUUAUUGGAGCCAUCAGUGAGAUACCACUCUUGUAAUGUUAGAUUUCUAACUUUGUAUCAUUAUCUGGUCAAAGAACAGUUUCAGGCGGGCAGUUUGACUGGGGCGGUCGCCUCCUAAACGGUAACGGAGGCGUACAAAGGUUUCCUCUGAACGGUUAGAAAUCGUAUCUAGAGUGUAAAGGCAUAAGGAAGCUUGACUGUGAGACCUACAAGUCGAGCAGGGACGAAAGUCGGUCUUAGUGAUCUGACGGUACUGAGUGGAAAGGCCGUCACUCAACGGAUAAAAGUUACUCUAGGAUAACAGGCUGAUCUCCCCCAAGAGUUCACAUCGACGGGGAGGUUUGGCACCUCGAUGUCGGCUCAUCGCAUCCUGGGGCGGUAGUACGUCCCAAGGGUUGGGCUGUUCGCCCAUGAAAGCGGUACGCGAGCUGGGUUCAGAACGUCGUGAGACAGUUCGGUCCAUAUCCGGUGUAGGCGUUAGAAUAUUGAGAGGAGCCUUCUUUAGUACGAGAGGACCGAGAAGGACAUACCUCUGGUGUACCAGUUAUCGUGCCAACGGUAAACGCUGGGUAGCUAUGUAUGGAGUGGAUAACCGCUGAAAGCAUCUAAGUGGGAAGCCCACCUCAAGAUAAGUAUUCUC